RNAcentral lists this long non-coding RNA (13024 nucleotides) under Glycine max (soybean). RNAcentral's name for it is "long non-coding RNA (GMAX_LNC000299)". Lineage: Eukaryota; Viridiplantae; Streptophyta; Magnoliopsida; Fabales; Fabaceae. The record is from RNAcentral.
UGAGUUCCUCAGCAUCAAUCAAAGGUGCUGGAGGAGGAUCAUGGUAGUCCUUUGCUGAGAAGGAACCACCCUCAACAUCAUGCUUAGCCAUUGCAAUUUGCAACUACCCUUUUGACACUGAUCAAGUAAUGAACCUGAAAGAAAGAAGGGUUUUUUGAUGAGUGUGUUAAUUAGUGUGAGAGGAGAAGGGGUAUAUAUGGGGGUGAUGGAGUGUGGUUAGUGCAUUUGAUUAUUGUAAUAAUGCAAUUUGACACUGGAAAACAAAGCCAUAUAUUAAUAGCAAUAAACUUUUUGGUUUGAGUCUCGCUUUCACCGACCUUGACCUCACUUUUACUACACCACCACCUCCCUACCACUCCCUUAAAUACAUUUGUAUCUUUGUUUGUUUUGUCAUUUUGUUCUAUCUAGAAAGAAUGAAUCUAUCUUACUUGGCUUGGUUUUUGUCUACUUCCCUUAGUUUCAAGGGAUCAGUUUUCUUCUUCACUUCUAAGUUUACCAAGUUAGACAUUAAUUUUUUUACUUCAAGUUUCUAUUUUAUUUUAUUUGUGAGACAGAACAAAUCGUUUUUUUCUUCAGUACCAAAAAAAAUUCUAAUUACAGUAAAAAAGAACUAAAUCAUUGUCUAAUUACAAUAAUCAUUGUCUAACUAACGAAAUAAUCGGAUUAAAGAACAAGAAAUGUUGAGUUGGAUGAUUCGAUUCAUUAUUCAUAGUGUGAUUAUUUAUUUUAUAUAGGGAAAAUAUAUCUGCUCAUUAUUUUUGUAUAUUAGAACAUGAUAGAGAAGAGAGAAAAGUAUUAGAUAAGAUCAUUUCUUUUUUACUCGAUGGAAGAAAACUAGAUAAGAUAAAUUAUAUCAUGUAGUACAAAAAUAGAAUUUUUUUAUAUAAAAAAGUAUUGUAAAAAUUUGUUGUAAGAAUAAUAUAUCUCUUUUAUUUAUAAGUUAUCCGUUAUUUUGGUAAGUUAUCUCAAAUCUUGAGCUUACAUUAAAAUGAUAUUUGCUUUUCUAAUUUUUAAAAAUAGAAAACUAGUGAAAUGGACAUUCCAAAUAGAUACAAUUAUUUAAUAUUUUAUUCAUAAUAUAAUUUAUAGAUUAUUUAUAUUUAUAUAUUUCAAUUUAUGUUUGAAUAUAAAAAAUGUUCUAAUUGAAUUGAUUGAAUAAGGUGUAUGAAUACUAUAAAUUUUUUGUUAUUGUUUUAAUUUUUAUGGAUAAAAAAAUUAACUUGAAGAGAUAUAUGAUAAUUAAAAGAGUCAUCCUUUAAAUUUAAUUUAAAGUUCUCUAUGAGUCAAUUUGGGGUAGAAAUCAUCACAGACGUGGGAAAGCAAGCUGCUUUAGAAAAAACAAAGUGAUAUGCUGUGCUCUACAGUACACAGUUGCGUAGAAACCGUUUGAAAAGUUUCAAGACAUUAGCGGUUUUUUUUCCCGGUCCAAGGGAAAUUGAAUUUUAACGUGACUUUUUUUUAAGGUAUAUAAGCAAAAUUCUCGUUAAAGUGGAUCUUAAUACACUUAAGUCUUAAGUAGGACUUUUCACAAGACCCUUUAAAGUGAGUCAGUUUUAAUUAAUUUUGAAGCUCUAUAAUUUGAACUAAAUAAUUAAGAGUGUUUGAUUGCAUAUUUUGGACGUGUUCAAAGAUAUUUUUCACGUCAAAAUAUGUAUAAAAAAUAAUAAUAUGAAGUUAUAAUUUAUUGCUUCCGCUUAACUUGGAUUAAACAGUGUUAAACGUUAAACUAAACAUGUUUUACAAGACUAAGGACAGGUUAAAUCAGUUAAGUAGUUGAAUUUAUAAGAAAACAAAAAAAUGGCAAAAUGUGUGUAUAUGUGAUAAAACACUUUAAUAGUUUAUAAGCUAGUUGGACUAUAUAUUAUAUGCAUAUAUUUCCUAAAAUUUAUACUUACAAAAUGAGUUAUAUCAAGUGAUAACAAAUCUCAUUUUAAGAAUGUAAAAUUUUUAAAUCUUAGUUAUACUUCUAUGAAAGUUAAGAUUAAAAAUUAUUUGGUAGUCGUAUAAUCACUUUAAAAAGUCAUAUACAUUUUUUCUUUUAAUUUUGACUUCAAAUAAGAUGUAAUUGUUUAUAAUUAUAGUUUUCAUUUUUCACAAUAAAAAACACUCAUUUAAUAUGCUUACUUUAUUUCUCUAUAUAUUAAAUAUAUGCUUCCUACUACCUACGUAUACAUACUUGAUUUGGAUUAUAAGAUAACAAAUUUGAUGUCUAAUUCACAUUUGAAAUGACAAAUUAAGAAGCUGGUUAAAUUUUAAUUUUAUUAUUUUUGUAAUUUUAAAUUCAUUAUUUUGGUUUUUUUAUUUUUAAAUCAAGACAUUUAAUUAUCUUAUGAUAUUUAUGUGAAAAAAGAAUAAAUAAACUAAAAAAAUAAAAUAUUUAUUAAUAGAAAUUAAACUCAUAAUACUUUAUUCAUAAAUAAAAUAAUAAAUUAUUAAGAUAUUUUUUUUGUUUAAUUAACUAUAUUAGCAUUAUUUUUUAUGUAACAUUACUCAAGAGUUAUAUUUUUAAAAAAAAAUUAUCAAAAUUUAUAAAUUAAAAAAAAUUAUAUAUUAAAUAUUUUUUAAUUUAUAAAUUUUGAUAAUUUUAAAAAAAUUAAUAACUCUUAACUAAUGAUACUAAAAAAUAAUAUUAAUAUAAUUAAUUAAAUAAACAUGUAUUUUAAUAAUUUAUUAUAUUCUUUAUGAAUAAAAGAUCAUGAAUUUAAUUUAUAUUAAAAAAUUAAAAUAUUUUAUUAUAAAAACAAGAAAAUUAAAUAUUUUAAUUUAAAAUUAAAAUUGUGAAUUUAAAAUUAUAAUUUAACCUAAAAAAUAUUUGCCUCACCCAAAAAAGAUCUACUCGCUAUAGGCAAGAUUUUCUAAUCGCUCCGCGAUGGUUCGCUCAAAACAUAUUUGAUUUGGACUUUGUUGAGUCUUCUUCUUUUUUGUUACUAUUAAAAAAUAUUACUUUAUGAAUAUUUAUUGAAAAUGAUUAAAUUAUAUUUUAAUAUUUUAUUUUCUAAAAAAUGAAAAUAUAUUCUCAAACCAAAUAUACUUUUCAAAUCUAAAAAAUUGAAAUAAAAAUAAAGAAUAUUUACUCAAAACAAAUAGUUGCUUAUUUAUUCUCACUACGAAAUUGGAUUCUGUCACCGGACAAAAGUGAUGAAUAUGCAUCCUGUCAUAGGCUUUUCAUUGUGUGUGUUAAUUAAUAGCUUAUAUAAUCAAUCAAUAUGACAUACAAUUAUCGGUAUGGUAGAAUUGUAAUUUUUUUUAUUUUUUGACAGAAGAAUUGUAAUAUAUAUUUGCAAAAGUAUGUAUACUUUUUGCGAGCAAUUGUUAAUGGUGCUAUUGGUUUACGUUAUCCAUGAUUUAUAUUUUAAAAUGGAAAUGAAUAGUGUGCAUAUUAUUUUAUGAACUUAAAAGUAGACGAAUCCGAAAACGUGGCUGAGAACACUGCCAACACACACAAGCAGGCGGCCAAAAAGUUGUGGCCCCAAAUGCCUUGGCGGUUCCCCUGUUUAACUUGUCAGGCGUUUCUUCUUUUAAGCUUUACAAUAUUACAAUUAUAUUUUUAGUAACAUUAUGUUUGAUAAGUAUGAUUAUCAUUAAGAAUUUUAAGGGAAAAAAUUAUUUAAUUUAAAAAAUAAAUUAUAAUUUUCAUUUUUCUAAUUUUUUAAAUUUAUUUUCAUCCUUUAGAUUUUAAUUAUAAUAUUUAGUCUUUUAAUUUUAUAGAUUAAUAAUUUUGAUUCUGCUGAUAUAUUAUUAAAAAUUAAUUUUGAUCAAUUAAGUUAAUUAUAAAUUAAUUAAAACUAUUAAUUAUUAAAAAUUUAAUAAAAAACUAUUAAUUUUAAUUCACUACAAUUGUGUUUUUCCUUUUUUUCUCCGUCUCUUGUAUCUCUUUUGUUAGUCUUUUGUUAAUUUUUUAAUAAUUAAUAAUUUUAUUUAAUUUAUAAUUAAUUUAACAUCUCUAAUAAUCAUAACUAUUAUCAUGAAAUUAAAAUCAUCCAUUUAUAAAAUUAAGAAUCAAAUGUUACAAUUUAAUUUUAAAAAAUUUAAAAAUAAAUGUGAUGAAAAAAUGCGAGAAUGAAUAGUUAUUGUAGAUAAUAUGUUUUUUCCUUCAGAAAAUACAAAACUUCAUCUAAAUUUGCCUAUUUUAUAUUUCUUAAAAUGUUUUUACAAAACUUGUAAACAACAAAUAAAUGUGAUAUUUUUUUAGUCUAUAUAUCUAAGAAUCUUUCUUCACACCUUAAAACGCCUCUUUACACAUUUUUUUUUGUUAAAUAUUUUUUCCGCGUUAUUUUUGGCCAAUUGACGUGAAUUUAUAUAAUAAUGAAAAUCAUCAAAAACAUAUCCCAAUAUUUACUUAGAUUUAUUUAAGAGAUUUAACCUAUGUUUUUCUUUUUUAAGCAUUCAUUCUAUAUUUGGUACUUUAUUUUAUAAUGACAAUGAUGUUUAAACUAAAUAUUUAAUAAUAGUUUAUUUUGUUUUAAUCAUUUAUUUCAUUAAGGGAAGAGAUUAUGAAAAUUUAAAAUUGAAUGGAAAGAUAAAUAAAAUUUGAUCAAUAAUUAUUUUCGUAAGAAUUGAAUUCGGAUAAUAGCUUAAUAAUUAACCCUUAUAACUUCAGCUUAUUAAUAUUUUAUAUUUAUUCACUUGGUUAUCUUAUAAUGAUUUUAAGUUUAAAUUUUAUGUAUGUAGUUACAUUAAAUUAAAUAUUUAGAAUAAAUUACUCGGAAUAAUUUUAUCCAACUCUAGAAAAAUUACUCAUUAUACUAUUAGUGAUCCUAAUAAGUCUUUGUACUGUGUGAGAACAUAUUAUAUUACUGAUAUAUUGUUUUACAAUAUAUUUUAUUUUUUAUUAUUUGUUCUAUUCAUAUUUUUAUAUAUGGAUUUUAUAACUACAAAAAUAGUUAUACAAUAUACGUAAAAACAAUAGUUUGUCUGCUAGAGAGUAACGGACAAAGAAGCAUUUCUCAAUCGAGAAGCUCCUUUUCCUGGUUUUUCUUCUUUAAUGAUUAUAGAAAGAGAGAAUAUAUUGCAAGGAUGAGCAUUUUAGCCUUAGGAGUGCCGACUAAGCAAACUUUUUCUUCUUAAAAAACAGUGCGAAGAAAAAUUCAUAAAAAGUUUAUUUUAAGAAAAGAGAAAUUAUAAUAAUAAAAAAUAAGUUGGUGGUUCAGAAAUGACAAUAUCCAUAUUUAGAGUGAAGAAAGUCAUGGGUGGGGGUGGCUGAGACAAAGUGCACCAUUUCAUCAUUGGUUUAGGAAUGAAUGAUUAGCUUGCCAACAAUUAAUAUUCUAAGCAUAAGUAAUAAAAGGCCAGUAUUCAACAAACGAUAAUCAAGUUUAAUAAUAUAUGUUGAGUUUGUGGACAAAAAAUUGAAUUCAAAAUUUUUAGAGAGAAAAGUGGGAUUACAUUUUGAAUUAACUCUCGAACUAAAAAUCAAUCUUAUAAUCGCUUAAAGGUUAAUUAGAGAGUUGAAAAUCUUAAUUAUGGUAAUUCAAAAACACAAUAAUUAAGUUUAUCAGGUAGCAUUUUUUAAUUUAAAGGAAAUCAUUAUAGAGUAUAUUUUUAGGUUUGUGUGGGGCUUUUGAUAAGACAAGAUUGGAAGAUAUAAUUCUUCUUAACCAUAAAUUAUGGUUAUUAUGAUUUUAAAAAAUGAUCAAAAAUAUAGUUAUUUGGUUAUAAAAAUUUUGGAAGAGAUUUACACAUAUUUUUGAAAAUUAAAGAUUUUAUAUUUUGUUUUAAUAGAAAUUGUUUAACUAUAUUAUAUUUUAUUUUUUAGAAAUCCUUUUUUAAUAAAAAUACCUUUACUACGUAUAUUUUUAAAACUUUAUUAUUCAAAAUUUUAAAAAUAUUUUAUUUAUAUACAGAAAAAUUUAUUAUUUAAAACAAAUUUUAUUAUUUUUGAAACAAGAGAAAAAUUACCAAAAUGUUUUUCUUAACUUGAUAAGAUGUUAACCUUGCCUACGGCGGCAUCUACACCGAUCAACCAUUAAUUUUACCCGCUACAGGAGGUAAAUGUGCGUUUAGUAGGAAUAAAAAUGACCAAGAGUUGCUUAUUUAUAGUAAGCUAAAAAUAACAGAAAAAUAAAAUGCUUAAAGCAUGUGUCUUUCAAGAAAUAACCGCUUUGUCGAGAGCUUGACACGUAUCCCUUGCUUUAUUAUCAAAUCAUAAUUGUUUCUAUUCGUCAAUUCAAUUUACCAAUCUCACUUUACCAGAUAACCCUUUGAACAUACAUCCAUCAAUAAAUACCCUUUCAACAAUCGAAAACAGAUUGUUAAUUCUUCAAAGCUACUCUUAGAUGUCUAUCAACAAAAACCACUUUUCCACUCAAACUAUCUUCAUUUUCUUUACGCUGUCCUGCUUAUAAGGCUUUCCUAUAAAUAAAAAAUAUAUCGAGUCGACUUUCAAUAUUAAAUUUUCUUACUCAACAAAGACCUAAAACAUAUUUAGCACAAACUUUUAUACUUUUGAAAUUAAUCUCAAACCAAAAUUACAUUCUUAAGAAUAAAUUUAAUUGGCCACAAGUUUUGUGGAAGCAACACUUUAAUCACAACGAAGUGGCGGUGCCGUCAACUGUUUCACACUGAAUCAUAGAACGCCACAUAACUACUGACUGACCGACUUCACACUGUAACGUCUCCACGGGAACUGCUAACAUUUUUAUUAGUAUACCCGCAUAACAUGCCAAAUUUCAGUUUUUUCGUAAGUCAAUACGAUUAAUUAAUGAUUCAAGCGUGAAUCGAAUUUGUAACUUUCAUAUUUUUAGCACAACAUUCUAUCUGAAUAGAUUAAUUAUAAUAUAAAAUAAUUAAUAUCAUUAAAUAUAACACUAAAAAUUUUAACGUAUUUAAUAAUUAAUUUGUUAAUAUAUAUAAAUUGUAAAUAAAAAUAAUAAAUUUAAUAAAAAUUUACAUAUGUAAAAAAAUACAAAAUUUAUUUAAUUAUCAAUUGUUGUAAUAAAUAUUUAAAUACAUCAUUCAAUUAAAUAUUAUAUUUAUUUAGUUUUCAAUCAUUGUAAUAAAUAUACAAAUAUAUCAUUCAAUUAAAUAUCAAAUUUGUUUAACUAUUAAUUACUGUAAUAAACAUCUAAAUUCAACAUUCAAUUAAAUAUCAAAUUUGUUUAAUUAUCAAAUUUUGUAAAUAAAUUAAAUGUAUAAAAAAAUUCUAAAAAUUUAUUUUUUUAAAAAAAAUUCAAAACAUAUGAAUUGUCAUUCCGUUUUGAAUUUUUUUUAAUAUGUACCUCUUCUUCUCCAAUGAUGAAAAACAACCGAACUUCACCAUACAUCUGUAAACAACGCACGUAUACCAUCGACGACAACAAACACUCACAAAAAGAUACUAACAGAAGCAAGUUACACUAAAGAAGUGUGGUUUUAUGAAAAAAAAAGCAUUGCAAAAAUAAAGAAGCUAAUCGGCUAUUUAUAACAAAAAAUACCCAAUGGUAUUUUAGAAAAUUACUAGGUGUACCAGUAAAAAUGAUGGGUGCCCCACGUCCCCACGCAUAGGCUAUAGAUUCAAAAAAUGUUCAUCAAAAUUUAAAGUGAUCAUCAUCAACCAUCAAAUAUGUGAAUCAACUCACAUUGAAUUAUUUUAAUUUAACCAAAAUUGUCUUGGAUUCAAAUCCUACAAAGCAACUUAUUCAUCGUUACUUGUUUCACUUUCACUUGUGUGACUAUUGUGGUGUCGACCCAAUUCUUAUUCACUUUUUGAUUGUCAUAAUUUUAAGAACUGUGUUCACUUUUUGAUUUCACAUUUCAUUUUCAUCACCUUUUCCAUGCCACCUUUUUACUGUUAGCACGUUUUAUUAUGCCAUCACACAGUUUGUAUCGUUUUGUCCCUAGCAAAGUGGCAACAUAUGAAUGAGAUUGUUUAAUUUCUUUUUUUGUUUCUUGUAUGUGGGGCUUUUCGCUAAGAUUGAGAAUUACUACCAUCUUUUUGUGUUGAAAAUUCAAAGAGAAGUGAAUUAAUAAAAUGAAGAGUGCACUUGAUCAACCAUCAAAGAAUACCUAAAGCUAAAAUAAUUAAGUGAAUAAUUAACUUACAUUUAUUAUUUUUGUAUAUGUUAAUUAUAUAGAUGGCACUACAUAGAUUUCUUGUCACGAUAUAUAGAAGUGUCUAUGAACUCGGAUUGGGUAGUUAUCAAAUUACAGGGAUUCGAUGAAAAUCGAAUUGGUGCAAAUGGUUUGGGUGAGGUGGGACAGUGCCUCUUCAAGGCAGUCCAUGGUGGUUUCAUGACUAAUGUGAGUGGGUAUGGUCGAAGACAGAGGUUCCGACAGGGAAAAAGGCGAAGGGUGGUGAAACGGAAGGAACGAGACCUGUGGGGAGUAUAAUAAGUGCAAAUAUGGGUGGUGGUGGAUGGCUGGACAGAUAGAAUGUCACGUACAAAGGUGGGGAUCAGUCAUGCUUCCAACAUGUUAGAAGCAAGUUGAACCAAAUUGUUAGGAAUAUAGGACUAACUAACUACACUAACCUAUAUUUGAUAAUUCUUCUCUGUUUCUUAUUUCCUUUCCAUGGUAUAUUUACAGUGAUCAUAUAAUGGAUCAGGUUUGACACUCAUGACCCAUAAUAGAAAAAGAUAACAAUGAUAAUAGAAUUGCAAAUAACAUAAUAGUGGAAACAUGCUAGUUUGUUAUAAUUGUGAUAGUACUAUCGGGCAAGGGAUAUGCUGGUGUCUUCUGCACCCUCUUGGGCCUACUCUCCCUUUAGGCUGUAUUGCAAUCGGAAAAUAUCUAAUUAAAUUCUUUUAUCGUUCAAAACAUUAACUUGGAAUAUAUAAAAGAAUCAUGUAAUUUUUCAUCCAAGAUUAUGAUGUAGUAAAUUGCACCAAAUUUAACUGAUUUGUGUCUAUAUUUAUAUUAUUUUUCGUUAGAGAUAUGUCAUGAAAUUUAUUUUUGAUUUAAUUUAUUAUUAAACGAUGAUGUAAUAUACUAAUGAAAUAUCAAAUUAUUAAUUAUAAAUCACUUAAUAGUAAGGUGACACAUUAACAAAGUGUAAUAUCAUCUACUUUAAAUCACUUAACAGAUUCUUACUAACGAUAAAUAUUAAAAUCGAAUAUAAAAAAUGUAAGAUACUAAAAUAAAAUAAUAAUUUAAAUAGUAAAAUAAAAUGGCCUAAAUUAUUUGAGCAAAAAAUUAAUACCAUGUUGAGAAUAAUCUUUUAUCACUGAUCUGACCUUAAGUUUGUUUAUAGAACCAUCAGGAUUGAGAUUAGUUAUUAAAACCCACCAAUCGCCUUUUUAUGGCUUGGUCUAUCGACAAGUUGCCAAAUUAUUUUCCUCUAUCAUCUUUAACUCAUCCAAUUUCAGCAACUAAAACAUACCUUGUAGGCUCCAAUUUUUAAACCAUUGUUGGGUUCUUUAGUAAAGGAGCUAAAUUGCUUUAAUUUUCCACCAAUUUCCAGACUUUGAGCUCUCAUACAAGUUCUCAUUUUUGCAGCCCACGAAUCAUAAUUUUCUCUUACAAAUAAUGGAGGUGGAAGCAAGGAGUUGCUACUGUUUGUGGUUUUUUUUCUUUCUUUUUUCUGGUUUCGAUAAGUUAUUCUAGCUGAUUUCUCACCCUCAAAUACCCUUAAAGAUCAAGCUCUUAAAUCUGGAUACCAUGUAGGAAAAUAAAAACAAAAGAAGAGAGAAAAAAACAGAACACGAAGCUUCUAUGGUGGAAUGAAAGUGUAUUUUCGUUCUUAAUUUUCCAAACAUACAUACAGUGACUUGUUUUUGGUGAAAAUACAAUAUCACAAGCAAAAAGUGUGACAUUGGCCUAGCAUCCCUCAAAAUAUGGGUUACCAAACUAGUUCACCAACAACAUGUCGAACUUAUUACACAUCACAAAAUAUUAAAACAAGACAUCUAAUAGAUUUUACUUCCAAUAUCUCAAGAAAAAGCUUAAUUCUAACAAGGAAAUACAUAGGAAAGUGCUUGCAAAUACUAAAGGGUUUUUACUAUUUACUAAAGGCUUCAUUGUCUUAAAGAACCUUCAAUCUACAGAGGAUCAAAGCACAAACACUUCCCAUGAUUUUUUUUCCAUUUCCACUAUCCCCCCAUGAAGAGGAAAUUGACUCAAAUAGUGGGGUUGCUCCUGAAUGAUCCAACAGCCUUAGCAGCACUUGCUCUCAAGAUGAAUUGGUGGUAGAAGGCUGCAAUGGCUGCUCCAAUAAACGGUCCAACCCAAAAGAUCCACUGAACAAGCAUAAGAAACAAAAACAUAUCAGCCAAAAGUGCCAUCUAUUUUAUCCUUUGUUACUUUACAUGGCAAAUUAUAAAUUUGAUUAUAGUAUAAAACUUGCAUGUUAUUAAAUUCAGACGACAGAUACUCACUUGGUCAUCCCAAGCCUUCUUUUGGUUGUACAUCACAGCGGCUCCAAAACUCCUAGCAGGGUUAAUACCAGUGCCAGUGACUGGGAUGGUUGCCAAGUGAACCAUGAACACAGCAAAACCAAUUGGAAGUGGAGCCAGAACCUUCAAACGCAUAACAAAACCAUAAUAAGAAACUUGUGGCAGAAUUAAAACAAAAAAUGUAGAUAAGAAGUUAAGCAAAACAUAUGAAUCUAAAUUAAUCAUUAACAUUUUAAAUAGCAGACAUGGUUGCAGUUUUAUUGCAAUCAUUGGUUUUUUUAUCGGCAAUUAUUAGUUGUUAAUUGUUAGUUUUUUGUUAGUGGGAAGAAUCGAAUGCACAACCUUUCUCUCCCUCCCUUCUUCUUUUAUCACCAAACCAACCUUAUAAUUCCUUAUUGCAAUCAUUGUGGCCAAUGCAACUGCAAUUAGAUAUGGUAAUUAAUAGGCCCAUAUUACUCAAGCAUAUGGUAACAACAUUUCACUUCAAUAAAAACCAUCAUGUACUUGGUAAUUUUGAUGAAAGAAAGAGAUAGGUUCACUACUAAGACAUGAAAUAUGCCCACAGGAAAAGGUUACCCACUUUCUUGUAUUGAGGAUAAGACAAUCAAACAAGUAUUAGAAAGAAAGGAAAGACCAGCAUGAAAAGUGGAAAGUUUCAUCUACAUUGCAAGCUGCCUUAUCUAUGCAAUAUUUAAUUGCGGAUGAAGUCUCUAGAUAAAGUAGUGACAAGAAGGAUUUAGAUUCCAAUAUCAAAAGGAAAUCCAAGUGAAAAGAAGGAUGAACCAGUUCACAUUAUUAUGAAAUGAAUAUUAAAAAUAAAGCUUUUAUAACUAUUAUUAUUAUUAAUAAUAAACAUAUAUAUGUUGAAUGUGCCAAAACUUUUUAUGAAAAUGGAAACUGCAUGAUAGCAUAGGCUGUAAACUUUAUCAUUUCAAACAGGAAAAUUAUUGAGUGGCAGCAUGUGCAAGUUCUGGAAAUGGAGUGGAAUUUUUAAAAAUAAUUGUGAAGUUCAAUGAAUUAAAAACAUCCAAUUGAUUGAACUGUGAAUCCAUAUACUGACACUCAUUUCAAGAAACAAGAACCACAACUAAUUAUACAUGAAAACAAAGAAAAUUCAUCAAAGCUUCUUAAUUUCAUUUAGAAGGCAAAGCUAGAUGCUUGAAGUUGAGAUGUCUGAUAAUAGCUAAGUCACUGCCACUCAACUUUUUUAAUUUACCUAUAACCAGUCUAAACUGAUUUAAAGGAACUUAAUCUCCUAUUUAAAACCUGAAAGUCCUGAUAGUGAAUCCAUGCUUGCAUAAAAGCAGGGUAUACGACAAUAUAAUAUGAUAUACAUUUUCCUCUACAGUUAAUGCAACAAUGUAUUUUUUCAAAAGAAGCACAAACAGAACUACAAUGCAAUGAAUGAUUGAAUUCAUACCGGCACAUGAGAAUCUCUAGCAUUCCUCUUUGGGUCAGUUGCAGAGAAGACAGUGUAGACCAAAACGAAGGUUCCAAUAAUCUCAGCACCCAAUCCAACACCUGUGCUGUACCCUUCACUGAGUUCAUUGGCACCACCACCAUACCUGUUGUAGUAUGCCUUUUGGAAUGCCUUAACCAACCCAACUCCACACAUGGCUCCCAAGCAUUGAGCCACCAUGUACAUUAUGGCUCUAAUCAAAGAUACCUUGCGAGCCAAGAAGAGCCCAAAUGUCACUGCUGGGUUUAUGUGACCCCCUACAUUGGAUAGAAAAAUUACAGUUUUCAGAAUAGGAAACCAAAAUUUGCAAACAAAUCAAGCCAUGGAUAUUUGUUUACUUCCAACCAAGAAAAGAAGCACAAAUGCACCAGCUUCCUCAGUUUGGAGGCUUAGAAACUUGAGAGAAAAGGGGAAUUAUUAAACAUGAAAGGCCAGUUAAAUUUGACGAACACCAUUAUAUCAUUUCAUAAGCACUCAAAACCAAACCGAGAAUGCUAAUUGCCUAAAUGGGGGUAUGCUUGAUAUUUCUACAACAAUCUAAGAUUUUAAGAACAGUCUGCGACCAUAAUUUUGGUCAAUUGCAACCACAUUGCCACAUUGGUCAUAUUUGUCUGCAAUUUCCCGCAACAUCAAGGACUGCCACGAAACCAUAACAGCGCGACCGCAAUUUAAAACCUUAAAUUAGAGUUCUAAGAAAGCAACUUUCCCUCUUUGGAUGCUAAGAAAUCAGAAUAUAGAAAGGAAACCAAGCCAAUCCAACAAAAGAGAUUGAAGUCCACGCAAGCAAAUUAAAAGGGUGUCUAUGAGAUUGAAAAGUGAUAACACACCGGAGAUUCCAGCAGUGCAGUAAACAAGGAUGAAGAUCAUGCCACCAAAGGCCCAAGCAAUGCCAAGAAUGCCAACUCCACCACACACAUCACCCCCGGCCUUGACAUCACUCUGGCUCUUGUAACCAAUCACAGUGAGCACUGUGAUGUAAAGGAAAAGUAAUGUGGCAAUGAAUUCAGCAAUCAAAGCCCUGUAGAAGGACCACUGUGUGAGUUCCUCAGCAUCAAUCAAAGGUGCUGGAGGAGGAUCAUGGUAGUCCUUUGCUGAGAAGGAACCACCCUCAACAUCAUGCUUAGCCAUUGCAAUUUGCAACUACCCUUUUGACACUGAUCAAGUAAUGAACCUGAAAGAAAGAAGGGUUUUUUGAUGAGUGUGUUAAUUAGUGUGAGAGGAGAAGGGGUAUAUAUGGGGGUGAUGGAGUGUGGUUAGU